AUUAGAGUUUGAUCCUGGCUCAGGACGAACGCUGGCGGCGUGCCUAAUACAUGCAAGUCGAGCGGACCGACGGGAGCUUGCUCCCUUGGGUCAGCGGCGGACGGAUGAGUAACACGUGGGUAACCUGCCUGUAAGACUGGGAUAACUCCGGGAAACCGGGGCUAAUACCGGAUGCUUGAUUGAACCGCAUGGUUCAAUCAUAAAAGGUGGCUUUUAGCUACCACUUGCAGAUGGACCCGCGGCGCAUUAGCUAGUUGGUGAGGUAACGGCUCACCAAGGCGACGAUGCGUAGCCGACCUGAGAGGGUGAUCGGCCACACUGGGACUGAGACACGGCCCAGACUCCUACGGGGGGCAGCAGUAGGGAAUCUUCCGCAAUGGACGAAAGUCUGACGGAGCAACGCCGCGUGAGUGAUGAAGGUUUUCGGAUCGUAAAACUCUGUUGUUAGGGAAGAACAAGUGCUAGUUGAAUAAGCUGGCACCUUGACGGUACCUAACCAGAAAGCCACGGCUAACUACGUGCCAGCAGCCGCGGUAAUACGUAGGUGGCAAGCGUUAUCCGGAAUUAUUGGGCGUAAAGCGCGCGCAGGUGGUUUCUUAAGUCUGAUGUGAAAGACCACGGCUCAACCGUGGAGGGUCAUUGGAAACUGGGAGACUUGAGUGCAGAAGAGGAAAGUGGAAUUCCAUGUGUAGCGGUGAAAUGCGUAGAGAUAUGGAGGAACACCAGUGGCGAAGGCGACUUUCUGGUCUGUAACUGACGCUGAGGCGCGAAAGCGUGGGGAGCGAACAGGAUUAGAUACCCUGGUAGUCCACGCCGUAAACGAUGAGUGCUAAGUGUUAGAGGGUUUCCGCCCUUUAGUGCUGAAGUUAACGCAUUAAGCACUCCGCCUGGGGAGUACGGCCGCAAGGCUGAAACUCAAAGGAAUUGACGGGGGCCCGCACAAGCGGUGGAGCAUGUGGUUUAAUUCGAAGCAACGCGAAGAACCUUACCAGGUCUUGACAUCCUCUGACAAUCCUAGAGAUAGGACGUUCCCCUUCGGGGGACAGAGUGACAGGUGGUGCAUGGUUGUCGUCAGCUCGUGUCGUGAGAUGUUGGGUUAAGUCCCGCAACGAGCGCAACCCUUGAUCUUAGUUGCCAGCAUUCAGUUGGGCACUCUAAGGUGACUGCCGGUGACAAACCGGAGGAAGGUGGGGAUGACGUCAAAUCAUCAUGCCCCUUAUGACCUGGGCUACACACGUGCUACAAUGGACGGUACAAAGAGCUGCAAGACCGCGAGGUGGAGCUAAUCUCAUAAAACCGUUCUCAGUUCGGAUUGUAGGCUGCAACUCGCCUACAUGAAGCUGGAAUCGCUAGUAAUCGCGGAUCAGCAUGCCGCGGUGAAUACGUUCCCGGGCCUUGUACACACCGCCCGUCACACCACGAGAGUUUGUAACACCCGAAGUCGGUGGGGUAACCUUUUUGUAGCCAGCCGCCUAAGGUGGGACAGAUGAUUGGGGUGAAGUCGUAACAAGGUAACCAAUCUCUAGAGGA
RNAcentral lists this ribosomal RNA (1530 nucleotides) under Bacillus sp. mixed culture X6-19F. RNAcentral's name for it is "bacterial SSU rRNA". It matches the Rfam family "Bacterial small subunit ribosomal RNA". The record is from RNAcentral. Lineage: Bacteria; Bacillati; Bacillota; Bacilli; Caryophanales; Bacillaceae.